Molecule: long non-coding RNA, 649 nt
Organism: Felis catus (domestic cat)
Lineage: Eukaryota; Metazoa; Chordata; Mammalia; Carnivora; Felidae
Exons: 3
Source: RefSeq, a predicted model, not a curated record
ACUUAAAACAAGACACAAGAAGCUUGAGGUACACAUUAAAAGCUGGGGAACCAUGUGAAGAGAGAAGGUGCGUAGCCUCACUGCUACUCACACCCCACUGCAAGGACAAGCAGGAUGUGAUAUACGGCCAUUUCAACUUCACUAUUUCUCUGCUGGCCUUCUGCCAAAGGAGCCAUCGAUGCCUGGAUCUGAGAAGCUCACAUAUUAUCCAAACACCUUACAUGUGUCCCAGCCUAGAUCGAUGCUAAGAGUGUCGUCCUAGAAUCUGCACCCACAUGUUCCAGCUGCAGGUGGCCCCUGCGUCAGACUUGGAAAAACCACACUGCCAUGGGCCAGAGGCGGUGCUGCCUGAAUGAGCUGAUCCCCAUCUGAGAAGAAGGUCCUGGGGAAGAGAAAACUAGAAGGGGAUCCGGGGGCACCAAGUGAAAAGGGAUACGGGAAAAGCAAACUGACAUGAAAUGAUACCAGAACAGGAGGAUGAAACUGGCAAAAGACAAAGUCUGCAUCUUCACAGAGGUCUGGUCCUGUCAGCGCUGUCCUCGUACCUUACAGUGACAGAAUGUUAGCACCAAAUUGUCUGUUUAGCUUAACGACUGCAUACUUAUUAUAAUAGGUUGUUAAACCAAUAAAACUCAAGAGGCAUAAGCAA